Molecule: long non-coding RNA, 685 nt
Filed under: Nicotiana tabacum (common tobacco)
Lineage: Eukaryota; Viridiplantae; Streptophyta; Magnoliopsida; Solanales; Solanaceae
Description: long non-coding RNA (NTAB_LNC011760)
Source: RNAcentral
ACGGUUAUCAAUUCAACAUGAUCAAACCGAAUGCAUACAAUUCAUGAGAGGAUAGACCCUCUGUAUGCCUUCUACCCACAUUGUUUCAGAAGUUUAAGCUUUUUCUGACUUUCCAGGCGUGAAGAAAGAUCGGCAGAUUUCUUUUUAGUGUCCUCUAACUCUUUCUCAAGCUCCUCUAUCUGUGUCAAUCCAAGCGGACAGAAUAAAAUUGAGACAAAUAUGUUAGAUAAAAAAGGUGGCGUUACUAGACUAAGUUCAAUAACAUAACUUAAAAGAAAACUAAGUAUCAAACACAUGCUCCGCAUGGAAGUGCUACAUACUGUACGUUUCAACUCGGUUUCCCUUUGGAUGUAUGACUCACACCUGUCGAACAAAGAUUCAAAGUGUUAAACUGGUAGAGCCAAUCAGUUUAGUUGCUAAACAUUUUGUGAUCACACGAGGAGGCCAAAAGCUGAUACAAACUAGAGAAGGAAACAGGAAAUAAGGAUUAGUCCAGAAACUACAUUGAGGCUUCCUAAAUCAGAGAUGUAAGAGACAUAAAGGACGAGAAGCUUAUAUCUUUAAAUCUCCAAGGCAAAUUUAAGUGCAAAACCAAAUCCAAAGGUUCAAAACAUUAAUCAUGUACUCAUAUUGGACGGCUCAUGCCACAAGAAGCAACAUGCGGUUGUCACUCAUCCAUUGAUCA